This 71-nucleotide transfer RNA is filed under the name Myotis davidii. It matches the Rfam family "tRNA". Rfam says of the family: Transfer RNA (tRNA) molecules are approximately 80 nucleotides in length. The record is from Rfam by way of RNAcentral. Lineage: Eukaryota; Metazoa; Chordata; Mammalia; Chiroptera; Vespertilionidae.
CCUGGUGUGGCUCAGUGGAUAGAGCAUCAGCCUGCAGACUGAAGGGUCCCGGGUUCGAUUCCCGGUCAGGG